CCUACGGGAGGCAGCAGUGAGGAAUAUUGGUCAAUGGACGAGAGUCUGAACCAGCCAAGUAGCGUGAAGGAUGACUGCCCUAUGGGUUGUAAACUUCUUUUAUAUGGGAAUAAAAUGUUCCACGUGUGGGAUUUUGUAUGUACCAUAUGAAUAAGGAUCGGCUAACUCCGUGCCUGCAGCCGCGGUAAUACGGAGGAUCCGAGCGUUAUCCGGAUUUAUUGGGUUUAAAGGGAGCGUAGGUGGAUUGUUAAGUCAGUUGUGAAAGUUUGCGGCUCAACCGUAAAAUUGCAGUUGAAACUGGUCUUCUUGAGUGAGCGAGAAGUAUGCGGAAUGCGUGGUGUAGCGGUGAAAUGCUUAGAUAUUGCGCAGAACUCCGAUUGCGAAGGCAGCAUACCGGCGGCGAUCUGACGCUGAGGCACGAAAGUGUGGGUAUCGAACAGGAUUAGAUACCCCAGUAGUC
RNAcentral lists this ribosomal RNA (460 nucleotides) under uncultured bacterium. RNAcentral's name for it is "partial 16S ribosomal RNA". It matches the Rfam family "Bacterial small subunit ribosomal RNA", at positions 338 to 795 of the family's 1533-position model. The record is from RNAcentral.